ACAGCAGCAGCCACGGUAAUACGGAGGAUCCAAGCGUUAUCCGGAUUUAUUGGGUUUAAAGGGUGCGUAGGUGGCCCGUUAAGUCAGGGGUGAAAGACGGUAGCUCAACUAUCGCAGUGCCCUUGAUACUGAUGGGCUUGAAUGAACUAGAGGUAGGCGGAAUGUGACAAGUAGCGGUGAAAUGCAUAGAUAUGUCACAGAACACCAAUUGCGAAGGCAGCUUACUAUGGUUUGAUUGACACUGAGGCACGAAAGCGUGGGGAUCAAACAGGAUUAGAUACCCCGGUAGUCCCUGUCUCUUAUAC
RNAcentral lists this ribosomal RNA (305 nucleotides) under uncultured bacterium. RNAcentral describes it as "partial 16S ribosomal RNA". It matches the Rfam family "Bacterial small subunit ribosomal RNA", at positions 506 to 807 of the family's 1533-position model. The record is from RNAcentral.